UACGUAGGGGGCAAGCGUUGUCCGGAAUUACUGGGCGUAAAGGGCGCGUAGGCGGCAUGGCAAGUCAGGAGUGAAAGGCCUGGGCUCAACCGAGGAACUGCUUUUGAUACUGCCAAGCUAGAGUGCGGAAGGGGCAACUGGAAUUCCCAGUGUAGCGGUGAAAUGCGUAGAUAUUGGGAAGAACACCUGAGGCGAAGGCGGGUUGCUGGGCCGACACUGACGCUGAGGCGCGAAAGCCAGGGGAGCAAACGGG
This 253-nucleotide ribosomal RNA is filed under the name uncultured bacterium. Its description in RNAcentral is "partial 16S ribosomal RNA". It matches the Rfam family "Bacterial small subunit ribosomal RNA", at positions 524 to 776 of the family's 1533-position model. The record is from RNAcentral.